CUUGGUCAUUUAGAGGAAGUAAAAGUCGUAACAAGGUCUCCGUAGGUGAACCAGCGGAGGGAUCAUUACCGAGUUUACAACUCCCAAACCCCUGUGAACAUACCUUAAUGUUGCCUCGGCGGAUCAGCCCGCGCCCCGUAAAACGGGACGGCCCGCCAGAGGACCCAAACUCUAAUGUUUCUUAUUGUAACUUCUGAGUAAAACAAACAAAUAAAUCAAAACUUUCAACAACGGAUCUCUUGGUUCUGGCAUCGAUGAAGAACGCAGCAAAAUGCGAUAAGUAAUGUGAAUUGCAGAAUUCAGUGAAUCAUCGAAUCUUUGAGCGCACAUUGCGCCCGCUGGUAUUCCGGCGGGCACGCCUGUUCGAGCGUCAUUUCAACCCUCAAGCCCCCGGGUUUGGUGUUGGGGAUCGGCUCUGCCCUUCUGGGCGGUGCCGCCCCCGAAAUACAUUGGCGGUCUCGCUGCAGCCUCCAUUGCGUAGUAGCUAACACCUCGCAACUGGAACGCGGCGCGGCCAUGCCGUAAAACCCCAACUUCUGAAUGUUGACCUCGGAUCAGGUAGGAAUACCCGCUGAACUUAAGCAUAUCAAUAAGCGGAGGA
Molecule: unclassified non-coding RNA, 601 nt
Filed under: uncultured fungus
Lineage: Eukaryota; Fungi
Description: sequence contains ITS1, 5.8S rRNA gene and ITS2
Rfam family: 5.8S ribosomal RNA (bases 220-373)
Source: RNAcentral